GAUGAGCGCUGGCGGCGUGCCUAAUACAUGCAAGUCGAGCGAACAGACGAGGAGCUUGCUCCUCUGACGUUAGCGGCGGACGGGUGAGUAACACGUGGAUAACCUACCUAUAAGACUGGGAUAACUUCGGGAAACCGGAGCUAAUACCGGAUAAUAUAUUGAACCGCAUGGUUCAAUAGUGAAAGACGGUUUUGCUGUCACUUAUAGAUGGAUCCGCGCCGCAUUAGCUAGUUGGUAAGGUAACGGCUUACCAAGGCAACGAUGCGUAGCCGACCUGAGAGGGUGAUCGGCCACACUGGAACUGAGACACGGUCCAGACUCCUACGGGAGGCAGCAGUAGGGAAUCUUCCGCAAUGGGCGAAAGCCUGACGGAGCAACGCCGCGUGAGUGAUGAAGGUCUUCGGAUCGUAAAACUCUGUUAUUAGGGAAGAACAAAUAUGUAAGUAACUAUGCACGUCUUGACGGUACCUAAUCAGAAAGCCACGGCUAACUACGUG
Molecule: ribosomal RNA, 497 nt
Filed under: uncultured bacterium
Lineage: Bacteria
Description: partial 16S ribosomal RNA
Rfam family: Bacterial small subunit ribosomal RNA
Source: RNAcentral